Long non-coding RNA from Lycium ferocissimum, 283 nucleotides. RefSeq lists it as uncharacterized. The transcript has 2 exons. NCBI's taxonomy places the organism in Eukaryota, Viridiplantae, Streptophyta, Magnoliopsida, Solanales, Solanaceae. The record is from RefSeq and is a predicted model, not a curated record.
UUUUUUCUCUUUGUUCUUGUUUUGCUGGGUUCUGUGGCUUGAGUUUUGGGUUUAGAGGAGGAAAUCUCCAAGUUUGAAUCUCGAUUAGAGGCUGCACUCGCAAAAGGGAAGCUGAUAUGUUUUUGAAGGCCCAGCCAAUGGGUGAAAAUGGCACUGAUGGGCUUGGGUAGGCCCAUCAGUUAAAAAAUUCACUUUCCUCCCUUCUCCAUUUAUAUAUUUGACAUGUAUAUAUAUUGUACAUGUACUGAAUAUGUGAAUAAUGGAACCCUUGUGCAUGCUAGAA